This is a long non-coding RNA of Fukomys damarensis (Damara mole-rat), 713 nucleotides long. RefSeq lists it as uncharacterized. The record is from RefSeq and is a predicted model, not a curated record. Lineage: Eukaryota; Metazoa; Chordata; Mammalia; Rodentia; Bathyergidae. The transcript has 3 exons.
GAGUCCCUGUCUCAACAUUUUGAGAAGGGCUAGGAGUGUGAGGGCCUGGGCUCUGCCUGUCCCAGCAUAACCUCUGCUGUGGCAUAGACCUCAGAACUCUCCCAGCCAACAGCCCCCACUGACCUUGGGGUGCCUGUCUCGCCCACAGAAAUCCUGAUCAAGGUGCAGGUAUAUGCGAGUGGAGAGCUGGUGCCCCUCGCCCGGGCCUCAGUGGAUGUGUUUGGGAACCGCACGCUGCUGGCCACUGGCACCACAGACUCUGAUGGCGUGGCCACCCUGCCACUCAGUUACCACCUGGGCACCUGGGUGCUGGUCACUGCUGCCCGCCCUGGCUUCCUCACCAACUCGGUGCCCUGGCGCGUGGACAGGCUGCCCUUGUACGCAGCCGUCAGCCUCUGCCUGCUCCCUGAGCGGCCUGCCACCCUCAUCCUCUACGAGGACCUGGUGCACAUCCUGCUCGGCUCCCCCGCCCAGCUCCUUAGUCACAGUGGCAACAUUCCCAGUACUGAGCAGUCCGAGUACCGAUCCCUUCAGCCCUCAAAGCAUCAGCGCUUGCCGGUCCCGCCGGGCUGGGAUCUGGAAGGAGAGUGGGUGCCGUCUGCCUUGGUGCUGUCCAGACCCGAGACUCCUCCGUGCAUACCCUGAGGCGCAGGCGGUGUUAGCGGGAGCGGGCCCAUGGCCCUGCUCUGGCCGCCCGGUGUCCCUAGGACCUU